AGUGAACGCUGGCGGUAGGCCUAACACAUGCAAGUCGAACGGCAGCACAGGAGAGCUGCUCUCUGGGUGGCGAGUGGCGGACGGGUGAGGAAUGCAUCGGAAUCUACUCUUCGUGGGGGAUAACGUAGGGAAGCUUACGCUAAUACCGCAUACGACCUACGGGUGAAAGCCGGGGACCUUCGGGCCUGGCGCGAAAGAAUGAGCCGAUGCCCGAUUAGCUAGUUGGCGGGGUAAGAGCCCACCAAGGCGACGAUCGGUGGCUGGUCUGAGAGGAUGAUCAGCCACACUGGAACUGAGACACGGUCCAGACUCCUACGGGAGGCAGCAGUGGGGAAUAUUGGACAAUGGGCGCAAGCCUGAUCCAGCCAUACCGCGUGGGUGAAGAAGGCCUUCGGGUUGUAAAGCCCUUUUGUUGGGAAAGAAAAGCAGUCGGUUAAUACCCGAUGUUCUGACGGUACCCAAGAAUAAGCACCG
Molecule: ribosomal RNA, 474 nt
Filed under: Xanthomonas sp. oral taxon 037
Lineage: Bacteria; Pseudomonadati; Pseudomonadota; Gammaproteobacteria; Lysobacterales; Lysobacteraceae
Description: bacterial SSU rRNA
Rfam family: Bacterial small subunit ribosomal RNA
Source: RNAcentral